GACAAACCCUGAUGCGCUGACCUUUUUCUCUAUAUAAGGUAGUCACCCUCGUAUAAUUUCUUCAUCUAUUGUAUCAUUUCUUGAUUCUUUCGUUAGUGUUCAUAGCCUUUCAAAAGCUGUUCCAUUUGUUUAAAGACUUGUGUAGCUUGUUCUUGAUCUUGAGAAAACAAAAGAAAAUGGCAACUUCAAUUCAUUAUAAUAUUUUGACAUCUCCUGCAAAAGCAGCAGCCUUCAUGUUUGUGUUGCUGCUCUUGCACACCGCUUGCCAGGCUCAACUCACCUCUACAUUUUACAAAAAUUCUUGUCCAAAUGCACUCAGUACCAUCCGCACUUCCAUAAGGAAUUCAAUUGCAGCAGAACGAAGAAUGGCAGCUUCUCUUAUUCGCCUACACUUCCACGAUUGCUUUGUUCAGGUAUUAUAUAUCGGUCUCUUUUCUCCUGCCAUAUACGUAUGACUAAUAUAUUAUUCUAUGAGCAUUGCUUCAAGAAUUCUUGAACUUGCAGGGUUGUGAUGCCUCAAUCUUACUCGAAGAGACUCCAUCUAUCGAGAGUGAACAGACGGCAGUUCCCAAUAAAGAUUCCGCCAGAGGCUAUCGAGUCAUUGAAAAAGCAAAAUCUGAAGUGGAGAAGAUAUGCCCUGGAGUGGUAUCUUGUGCAGAUAUCCUCGCUGUAGCUGCAAGAGAUGCAUCCGCAUAUGUAAGCAUAUUCAAUAUAACUUGUUUCAGAUGUCACUCUUCUCAAGUUCUAGUUUAUUAUUUUUUUUUUCACAUUUUUCAAAAAAUAUCAGGUGGGAGGUCCAUCUUGGACAGUGAUGCUUGGAAGAAGAGACUCAACUACUGCUGGUAGAACACUAGCCAAUAGUGAACUGCCAAGUUUUACAGAUGGCCUGGACAGACUUAUAUCUCGCUUUCAAAGUAAAGGCCUCAGUGCAAGAGACAUGGUUUCCUUGUCAGGUAUAUCCUUGUCUAACAAGCAACAAGCCUUUUAAGUGAGAGCAAAAUAAUUCUUGGCUUAUAGCAUUUAUGCUAAAGUAUUUUUCAUUUCCUGUUGCAGGUUCUCAUACUCUAGGUCAAGCUCAAUGCGUUACAUUCCGCGAUAGGAUAUACAACAAUGUCACUAUUGACGCUGGAUUUGCUAGCACUCGCCGGCGUGGCUGUCCAGCUGUUGGCGGUGAUUCAAAUUUGGCUCCCCUUGAUUUGGUCACACCCAAUUCUUUUGACAACAAUUAUUUCAAGAAUCUAAUACAAAGGAAAGGUCUUCUCGAAUCUGAUCAAAUUCUUUUUAGUGGAGGUUCAACAGACGGUAUUGUCUCAGAAUAUAGCAGAAGUCGCGCAGCUUUUAGCUCUGACUUUGCUUCUGCCAUGAUCAAAAUGGGAAAUAUUGAGCCUCUCACAGGAACCGCUGGGGAAAUAAGGAGGAUUUGCAGUGCUGUGAACUAGUUUUAUGUUCUUCUCGACCAAUUUGUUCAUUCUUUAUAAUUUGCACCAAGUGUAAAACAAAUGUGUGUUAUUCUUUUACUCAUUUCCGCUUGUAAUUCAUUUCAUUAAUUGUAUUUUUCCAUGUUGAAUAUUAAAAAUUAUAUUGUUAUUUAAU
RNAcentral lists this unclassified non-coding RNA (1593 nucleotides) under Hevea brasiliensis (rubber tree). Lineage: Eukaryota; Viridiplantae; Streptophyta; Magnoliopsida; Malpighiales; Euphorbiaceae. The record is from RNAcentral.